RNAcentral lists this long non-coding RNA (2320 nucleotides) under Nicotiana benthamiana. Its description in RNAcentral is "long non-coding RNA (NBEN_LNC036867)". The record is from RNAcentral. Lineage: Eukaryota; Viridiplantae; Streptophyta; Magnoliopsida; Solanales; Solanaceae.
AUAUAUGUCCGAACAUGAACCCCCCACCCCAUUUUCAGUCAUCUUCCUCAUUUCACCAUUCCUCUCACAAACCCUAGUUGUGCCGCUCCAAAACCUCUAAGCCGCCGGUGACGCUGCCGCCUCCAAACAUCCCCGAAAUAACACCAUAGGCUCUCCCUCAUCUCCCCGUUUCAAAUAUACCAUUAGUUUCCUUCGAAUCAAUGCAUAUCCCCUCGAAUCUUGAUUUUAAAAUCAGGCUCAAAACCCUACUUUGUCUAAAUGGUCCCAAAUUGGUACCCGAUAAUCCCCUGACCUUCCUAAUCUUGAAUCUCUAGUCGAAAUCCCUCAAAUCUCACCGAAGCUCAGCAAAUUUUGGAUCUAGGGUUGUCAUUUCGGGCCUGUUUUAAGGAGUUUCAGAGUCAAAUUGAUUCCUAUUAAUGUAACUUGCUUAUUUUUGCUAAAUAUACAAGUAACAUUAACCGAAAUUCAAUUUCGAUGGUUUAAUUCAUGCUAAAUCUAAGUGAGUUUCUUUUUUAGUUUUUUAUCAGUUUCUUUUAUUCGUCCUCUUUGGUUUUGAUCUUUGUUAGUGUAAUCCAUGUUUUCUUUGUUAGUUAAUAGUAUGUUAAUUUUCAUGCUAUGUUUCUUUUGGGUCGAUUCUGGGUUUCUUUUCUCUUGUGUUACUUCUGUUAAUCACUUUAAACAAGUAAUCAUUAUUUUAGCUAUAUGUUUAUUUGUUUUGUUCAUGUGAACUUUCAUUUGGAAUUUUCCCCUGUUCGAAUAAUUAGUUCUAAUACGUUAAUAGAAGUUAUUAGUCCAGUAGUAUAAAGUUUAGAUUUUUUUUAAAAUUUUUUUAAAGAAGAUCUUAGUUUGUUCAUAUCUAUUUUGAUCUGUUUUAUUCCUCUGGAUUUGACCUGGAUUGAUUUUAGCUUAUGCUUUUGUCUUAGUAUUAGCAGUUUGUUAAUUGUUAAUUCAAUAUUAGUGUUAACUAGUAAUGAUUAGUGCAAUGUUUAAAGUUUAUUUAACAAUAGUCAAGUUUUAACUAAGGUAAGGGAUUUGUUUGGGUCAGUAGUUUCAGGAAGUUUUCAGGGGUAGUCUGGGCAUAGAAAAUGAUUGUUUUAUGAAGAAUAAUAAAUUCAAAACCAAGACAAGGGUAGUAUAGGUAUUGUAUAGGUAAAGUAACACCCUAACGCCUUCAAGAAUAGGACUUUAGUGUAGAUUUAGGUAAAUCUACGGCAGUAACUUGAGAAACAAGUCAGAAAUUGAAGGACUAAUAAGUGAAAUUUGAAAUUAAAAGAAGAAAAGAAUUUGUGAAAGCUUCCAGAACUUUCUGCUCUGUUAUGGAAUAUAAAAGGCAACCCUAGUACCUUCAUUUACAGGUGGACACACCCAUGAAAAAAUUCUAGAAGUUUGAGCCAUCAAAACUCCCUUUAAAUAGCUCUUUCUUUUCUAAUUUUCAGAUCUAAGUUUUAAAAUUUAAAUAUUCAAAAUCCAAAAACAUCAAAAACAGAAAAUCAAAAAUAAAAGUUACUGUUUCAUUGUUUAUUUAGAUUAUUUUCCAGUUUUCUCUUUGCAUUUCUCUAAAAUUUGUUUUAAGCUCGAGUUCAGCAACAUUCUGGAGUAUCUAACAAUUUGGUCGAAUAUAUUUGGAUCUGUUUGGCUUGGUUUUUAUGUUAAGUAACAGCCUGAAGAAGUCUCAUAAGCAAUUUAAGUUCACUAUUGAAUUCGGUUGGGGGUAUUUCAAGUGGUUGUUGGUUUGAUUUGUUAGUUUCUGUUUGACUGUCAAACAUUUCUUGGUGCUAAAUUACUUCUCGAGCUGUUGUUGUUGUGUUGUUCCUGUGAAAUUGAUCUUUUACUUCUCCCCUGUUUCGAUUCCAGGUACACCUUCAUUACCUCUACUGAUAUGGAGGCUUGAUUCUCAUGUAUAGACUGUUUGGGGAAAUCAAUGAAGAAGAACAUUACUUGUUAUCUGAGUUUUAUUGAAUAUUUGACUAGCCUUUCAUAUUUAGCUUAGCUAGUCAUGCUUAGUUGCAAUUAUAGCAAUUGUUUGGACUGUUUAACUUGUACUGAUUAGACUGUAUUGAACUAAUACUUUUCUGAAUUCGUGUGAGCAUUGUUAGUAUUAGUGUAGUCUAAUUGCAUUACAUAACGUCAGUGUAUUUUUUAAGGAUUUAGCAUCUAAAUCAGUAAGAUUGGACUGGAAAGUGUAAUCCCUUGUUUCAUAUGAAAAUCAGAACCCACACUACAUGAUUUAAUUUGUUUUGAAUAUCAAAGGCUCCUAGAAUUCAAACGGUAACAAGUUAAUGAUUCAAUAUACAAAUCAUGUUGGUUAUUUGAGGUUACU